Long non-coding RNA from Meriones unguiculatus (Mongolian gerbil), 3887 nucleotides. RefSeq lists it as uncharacterized. The record is from RefSeq and is a predicted model, not a curated record. The transcript is spliced from 3 exons. NCBI's taxonomy places the organism in Eukaryota, Metazoa, Chordata, Mammalia, Rodentia, Muridae.
UGAAAACCUAGGAGGUGAGGAACAGGGUUUUCAGGACCUUCCUACUUAGGCCAGCACAAGGGCCUUCAUGUGGGGUGAAAACAGGCCGUCUAGAGCCUGUUGGAGGGUUCUGGUUGGGGAGAGCAGCUAAUCACAGAGCCCUGACUGAAAAAUGGUCCUCCUCUAUCGAGGAGGGUCGCUCUCUCCAGAGCUUAGCUUCAAGGACACUCAUAAGGACAUGGGGAAAACACAGGGACAUGUGCCUGGCCAAGUCAGCCGCAUCAGCCUUGGCCAACAAUGGGGAGACAGAUGUUCUAUCCAGAUUGCAGCCACAGCUGGAAUGGAAUUCUUCUCUCGGUGUGUUCUAGGGACUCUGACACCAUCUUCCGGCCUCCUAGGACCCAGAACAGAAGCCAUGCAGACAAAACAUACGCAUGAAAUUUUAAAAGAAAUCUAAAAUAACAGAAGGCCUGAAAUUUGGGAUCGGUUGCCAAGUAUGUGCCACUAUGCCUGGCUAAGCAAGCUCUUUGGGACAGACUUAGCCAUGACUGAGAGAGAACGGGAGGGCGGGGCUGGAAGGCACCUCCUUGCUAGAGCUCUCAUUCCGGGGCUAGGUGUCCGGAGGGAAAUAUGGGAAGGUGGGAAAGACAGACUAGAAGGGUCACCUGUCGAAGCAAGUACUCCUCCUCUUCCUUGGAGAUGAAAUCGGGGACAUAGUAGAUUAGAGAUGGCGCCUGUAAUGGAAAGACGGCCCUUAGGAGAGGGGUCCUCAACCUGUACAGCUAUGAAGCAGCGACAAGAAUAAUUUUUAUGGUUGUGGUUCACCACAACAUGAGAAACUAUUAAAGGGUCGCAGCAUCAAGAUGGUAGCGAACCCCUGCCUUAGGAUGUGGCGCUUUGUCCAACACGGGGACCCCAUCAGGAUUGAGCAACCUUUCCCUUUGGAGAGGAAUUUGGGAUGCCCUCAGAGAGGCCAGGACCUCAAUAGCCCUGGGGGUCGGAAGCAGGCAUGCUCUGAGGAGAGACAGGGCAAUCCCAACCAACAAACCCAGCAGUCCCAGUCACUUCGCCCCACCCCACCCCCUUCUGUCCCCACAUCCCCCUCCACACCCCAGUCCUGUCAACCUGUUCCACCCUGAACGGUUCCAGGGCCGGGACCCUGGCGUCCUGCUCCUCCAUGGACACCAACUCCUCGCGUGCCGCCCUGUGGGAGGGGAAAGUCACCAAGCCUCCCAUCUUCAAGCUGUGACCCGCCUUCCUUCCACCCCCUCGGGGGCCAGACCUCAAAGCUGGGGCCCUGGGUUUCUCAGAGCCGCCCAGUGACCCCACGCCCAACCCCGGAUCCCAGCGCCGAUCGGAGUCAGCAGACGCCAACCUGAGUCCUUCCAAGCCCACCCGGGCCCCACCGCUUCACAGGCCCCUUGCUUCCCUCGAGAGCCCGCUGCGGACGUGCAAGCCUGAGUGCAGGACCCCCAGGGCCCAAAGACCCUCGUCUCACCUCGGCCCCUUCAGCACCCUCGGCCCCGAGCCAGGCUGCCGACGCUGGUUUCCCGGCAGAACCUCCCCAGACCCCGGAGGGUCGGGAUUCCACGCUCUGAGCCCCCCGGGGCUGCCACCCUGAGCCCCCUCAGGUCCCCGCACUCGUCACCUCUAAAGCUCCCCCCGCGCGCGCACACGCGCGCCCCCCGGACAACCCGACCGUCCACGCCGCCUCCUCUAACUUCCAGACUGAACCCGCUCAGGCUCGCCCGCCCCGGCCACUUCCGCCCGUGCUGCCGACGCAGGACGCGUUAGACCGCUGGCCGUCCCCACAGCCACCUCCGGGCCCGCCCUCCAGCCAAUCAACGCUCCCACUCGGCGUCCGCCGCGCUCGCUCAGGGACGGGCCGCGUCCCGCCUCCAAGGACCGGGCUUCGGCUGGUUCCCACCAAUCAGGACCCCACAGCAGCGUGGGCCCUCACCUCAGCGAGGGAGGCCACGGGGAAGGGACGGGCGCUCCGUGUUCUGCAGGCCAAGUCGCUGGUCUCAUGCCUUCCUUACCAGGAGGUGACAUUAAACAAACAAAGCUCUCCCGCCGUCCUCACCCCGGCAAAACCCCGGGGUCGGUGCUGUAACCCCCAGUGACCUGACACACGAAGGCCAUAGAAACGUCUUUAUUGAAGAGGACAGGAGUCAUGCUGAGUUUAGGGACAUGCAGUGAAGGGGCAGUCGUGAGCUGUCCUUGGUGGUCGGGGGCCCCAGGUCUGCUCUGGACCCAUGGGGCCUUCGGGUUCUCCCUCAGGCUGUUGGUCUGGCCCAGGUGCUGUGAGGUCCUUGGGGGCCAAUGACUCAGAUUUAGUGUCUCGGACCUGUGACCAGAAGGCAGACUGAAAUAGGGACUCCAAUAGGGGUCCUGGUAGAGCCCUGGGGCCCUGCACGUAUUAAGAAUCAGAGAUUUGGGAAUCGGGGGUUCCCUUGAGGCGGGGGCCCGUGGAAUUUGGAGUUUGGGAGAUCAGAAGAUCCAUGGACUGAGGGCGUUAGUCGUCUGUUCUUGUUCCAGAGAUGGGAUUUGCUGUCUGGGGUCUCCUGGUGCCUGGAGUUGGGUUUGAGAUGCCCUGAGAGCCUGGGGCCUUCUCCUGGCAACAGGUUCCUUGCUCCCACUCCCACGGACCUCGUGGUUGGGUGGUUUCCUGAGGGUUUGGGAUUGGGGCCUUAAAUUUGGGAUUCCCUGGGGAUUUGAAGAUUCUGUGACUUGGGUAAGGGGAGUCCUGGGAAUUAGAAAUUGGGGGUCUUCUAAGGAUCGGAGGACUUGAAGGCCUGGGGAAUUAGGGAUAUAUAUAAUAUAUAUUCUCUCUGGAAUUUGAACUCCCCAGAGUUCUAGAGCGGGGUCUCCAAAUUUGGGGGCUCCCCCCAAAGGGGGAAGUUAUUACUUUAAAAAAUAGAGAAUUUUCUGGGAGCCUUGGCCAGCACAGAGAUUGUGGGCCACGUGGGUGGGCUUCAUACAAGGCACUGGGGGUUUCUCGAGGGGGCAGGAAGACUUGGUGUCCUGCAAUUCAUGCUUCCAGGACUGUUUGGUGUUUGCAAAUUGGGGUGACGGGGCUGGUUAAGUGGGUGUCUUCUUUGGGGGGGGUGAGAACAGGGACUUAGUGAAUGGGGGGCAUCUCUGAUAAGGGCUUUCAGGUGACCUUGGGGUCACGACAUCUUGAGGAGACUGAUGUUGAAACGGGGAAAGUGAUGUGGGCUAUCCGGGAGAUAUGGCCUAUGCUUAAGGAGAAGGGGGAGGGGUGGGGUCUUCAUUCAUGGGACUCCCAUCCACUGGUGAGGAACUCAAGAGUGUCCUGUUAUGGCGAGGGUCGGCAUCACUUGGGUGACGUGGAAAUGUUUAUUGGGGGACAUCUGCUCUGAGGGGUGGGGCACAGGAACUAGCCUGAAGGUGCUACUCAGGGAAUCUUUGGGGGUAACAUGAGGUCUGUAUUUGGGGAGCUGUCAUGGGAGAUCUGUUAAUAAUGGGACCUCAGUACUCGAGGGCUGGCUAACAGGGGCUUUCUAUUCUGGAGGUGUCACUGGGAAUCGCUAUCUGGGGGUGACUGGGGGCUCCUUGUGUCAGGAGAUGCUAGAGGGGACUCUGUCUCUUUGUAGGGACUCCAGGGCCUCUAGGACUGCAUCUCUGCCCUCAGCAUCCAGGGGAACCAGCAGCAGAAGAGUAACCUGCAAGAGAAGAGCCAGGUCACAUGGGACACAGCCCAGGAAGGCACGGAACUCACGACCCGCCUGCCCUCUGUGCGUGGGGAUUGCAGGCAUGGACCACACAUCCAGUUUACUGGCAACCUCGCUUCCAUCUCCCACCCCUGUGGGCCCUGCACACCCGCAGCCAGUGGCCUUGCAGAUGUCUCUCACGUUCUGCUGGAAGGCCUGCCACACACCUGGAGA